This 695-nucleotide ribosomal RNA is filed under the name uncultured bacterium. RNAcentral describes it as "bacterial SSU rRNA". It matches the Rfam family "Bacterial small subunit ribosomal RNA", at positions 32 to 715 of the family's 1533-position model. The record is from RNAcentral.
AACGCUAGCUACAGGCUUAACACAUGCAAGUCGAGGGGCAUCAGUUUGGUUUGCUUGCAAACCAAAGCUGGCGACCGGCGCACGGGUGAGUAACACGUAUCCAACCUGCCUCAUACUCGGGGAUAGCCUUUCGAAAGAAAGAUUAAUAUCCGAUAGCAUAUAUUUCCCGCAUGGGUUUUAUAUUAAAGAAAUUCGGUAUGAGAUGGGGAUGCGUUCCAUUAGUUUGUUGGGGGGGUAACGGCCCACCAAGACUACGAUGGAUAGGGGUUCUGAGAGGAAGGUCCCCCACAUUGGAACUGGGACACGGUCCAAACUCCUACGGGAGGCAGCAGUGAGGAAUAUUGGUCAAUGGACGCGAGUCUGAACCAGCCAAGUAGCGUGAAGGAUGACUGCCCUAUGGGUUGUAAACUUCUUUUAUAUGGGAAUAAAGUUGUCCACGUGUGGAUUUUUGUAUGUACCAUAUGAAUAAGGAUCGGCUAACUCCGUGCCAGCAGCCGCGGUAAUACGGAGGAUCCGAGCGUUAUCCGGAUUUAUUGGGUUUAAAGGGAGCGUAGGCGGAUUGUUAAGUCAGUUGUGAAAGUUUGCGGCUCAACCGUAAAAUUGCAGUUGAUACUGGCAGUCUUGAGUGCAGUAGAGGUGGGCGGAAUUCGUGGUGUAGCGGUGAAAUGCUUAGAUAUCACGAAGAACUCCGAUUG